This 495-nucleotide ribosomal RNA is filed under the name uncultured bacterium. RNAcentral's name for it is "partial 16S ribosomal RNA". It matches the Rfam family "Bacterial small subunit ribosomal RNA", at positions 28 to 507 of the family's 1533-position model. The record is from RNAcentral.
GAUGAACGCUGGCGGCGUGCCUAAUACAUGCAAGUAGAACGCUGAAGGAGGAGCUUGCUCUUCUGGAUGAGUUGCGAACGGGUGGGUAACGCGUAGGUAACCUGCCUGGUAGCGGGGGAUAACUAUUGGAAACGAUAGCUAAUACCGCAUGACAACAGUUAUUGCAUGAUAACUGUUUAAAAGGGGCAACUGCUCCACUACCAGAUGGACCUGCGUUGUAUUAGCUAGUUGGUGAGGUAACGGCUCACCAAGGCGACGAUACAUAGCCGACCUGAGAGGGUGAUCGGCCACACUGGGACUGAGACACGGCCCAGACUCCUACGGGAGGCAGCAGUAGGGAAUCUUCGGCAAUGGACGGAAGUCUGACCGAGCAACGCCGCGUGAGUGAAGAAGGUUUUCGGAUCGUAAAGCUCUGUUGUAAGAGAAGAACGAGUGUGAGAGUGGAAAGUUCACACUGUGACGGUAUCUUACCAGAAAGGGGCGGCUAACUACGUG